Megalobrama amblycephala (Wuchang bream) is the source of this 524-nucleotide long non-coding RNA. RefSeq lists it as uncharacterized. The transcript has 2 exons. Lineage: Eukaryota; Metazoa; Chordata; Actinopteri; Cypriniformes; Xenocyprididae. The record is from RefSeq and is a predicted model, not a curated record.
AUGCUUUUUGUAUAACAAGCUGCCAUGUUAGGCUAGGUCACUCCUCAAAGAUUUGUUAGGACCAUUAAGGUGUCCUCCUUGACUGACAAGAGCUCAUAACCCACCGCUGCUUCUUGUGUCGGAGUCGUUGUAAGUCAUGGCCGCUCUCAAGUUAGGCUGGUAUGUGAUCGAGGCUUGUCUCUGUUUUACAGCCUGGUGAUGUGAGUAACUGCGAACCACUUACAGAAAGUGAUGGAAAAUGGAUGCUAACCUUUCUGCAUGCUGACAGUUCAAGGUCCUCAUACCCUACCAGUUUAGACAUACUUGAAUAAGUUUAUAUUUGUCAUGAUCUUAUAGGUCUUUUCAUCUGAAGGCUUAGACUAUCUUAUAAUCAGUUGAGAAGCAACAAGAUAACAGCGACACAAGCAAUUUGUCUUUCCACACUCGAACGUGAAAAUUAUUUAUUUUUUGUAAACAAAUUUUAUUUUAUUUUUAGUGCAUGUUUCUUAAAGGUCCCGUUCUUCGUGAUCCCAUGUUUCAAACUU